UUUAACACUUCAUCAACACACAACACAACAACAAUGAUAUUCAUCACCUUCUUCAUCUGGACUCUCACGGUGUUUGCUCGAGAGUGUGAUGGACAGAUCACAGUCACUCAGAGUCCCUCAAUAACAGCAGCUCAACCAGGACAAGAAGUUAAAAUAAUCUGUAAAACCAGCAGUAACGUCUACUGGGAGAGUACUUAUGGCUCCCGCUUAGCCUGGUACUUACAGAAACCUGGAGAAGCUCCUAAACUCCUCAUUUAUCUGGCCAACAGAGUGCAGUCUGGAACUCCAUCUAGAUUCAGUGGCAGUGGAUCUGAUAGUGAUUUCACUCUGACCAUCAGUGGAGUCCAGACUGAAGAUGCAGGACAUUAUUACUGUCAGAGUUAUCACAGUGGUGGUGUGUUCACACAGUGAUAAAGAGUCAUACAAAAACCUCUGUCAGUCACACUGCACUGAUACACUGACAGAUACUGCAGCUGCUCACACACACACACACACACACACACACACACACACCAUGUGGAGAAUCAAAAAGGACAUUUAAACAAGGAUUGAACACAUAUUUUGUUGGUCAGUAUUUUUAAAGAUAAUCAUUAGACAUCGUGUUGAUGUGAUCAUGAUUCUUCAGGAGUAAUUAAUGGUCUCAUGAUACUUUCUGUCCAUCAUUGAACUGAACACCUGAUUUCAGAUGCUGUGUUCAGUCAUUUCUGAACUUGAUUUGCUCAUCAGACAUUUUCCCAUCUCUGUUCAAUCAAUGACUCUGUUUCAAACCCUCCUGAGCUGCUUUGCUGUCUGUAGAAUACUAACUAAAAAUGAAACCUCUUCAGUGACUGACAUGAAACACUGAACCACAUGAGACUCAUUUUAAACUUUGUGAGAUGUUAACAUGUUGCCAAGCUAAUGAUGCAACACACUAAUAACCUCAAAAAUACAUAAUAUAAUUAUUUAACAAGUGUUUAAGUUUUUAUUGAAUACUAAAUGAAUGACUUUAUUUCUUCUGUGGAACACAAAAGGAGAUUGUAAGUCUCAGUCACCAUUCACAUUGAUUCCAUAUUUUCCAUUUAAUUAAAGUGAAUGGUGACUGGGGCUGAAAUUCUGCUGAAUAUCUCCUUUUGUGUUCCACAGAGGACAGAAAGUCAUACAUAAGGUUUGGAACAACAUGAGGGUGAGUAAAUGAUGACAAUUAUAAUGUUUGUGUGAACUAUUCCUUUAAAACUCCCACAGCAUGAAACAACAUAAUGAGAGACUUUGAGUGUGUGUUUGCUAUUAGACAAACCAUUUAAUGAUCUUUGAACAGACCAUAAUAUGAUCAGAUGUCACAACAGGUGCUCUCCACCA
This is a non-coding RNA of Myxocyprinus asiaticus (Chinese sucker), 1335 nucleotides long. The record is from the annotation of a RefSeq genome assembly. Lineage: Eukaryota; Metazoa; Chordata; Actinopteri; Cypriniformes; Catostomidae.